GCGCCAUUAGUCUAGUGGUAGGAUCUCGGCUUCCCAAGCCGAUGACCCGGGUUCAAUUCCCGGAUGGCGCA
Molecule: transfer RNA, 71 nt
Filed under: Promethearchaeota archaeon
Lineage: Archaea; Promethearchaeati; Promethearchaeota
Description: Candidatus Lokiarchaeota archaeon (permafrost metagenome) tRNA-Gly
Rfam family: tRNA
About the family: Transfer RNA (tRNA) molecules are approximately 80 nucleotides in length.
Source: RNAcentral